UUUAGCGUGUUCCUAUGCCUGUGUGCCAAAAACAAAAACAAAAUAUCCUUGCGGUGCCACAAAAUUUUCAUCUCCGGUUUCUGCUAGCGUUUAUAUGUAUAUAGACUCUGAUUUCUGCUUGUUUUGUGCUACAAAAUCUAUAUUAUUAUCCGGUACCGGAUCCAGAACUGCAGCUGGAUUCGCAAUGCUGGCGCUGAGUAAAAGGCAGAUGUGAACCGACAACACCUCCGUGGCAACCUCCUCCAAGCCGAUACGCGACACGUUCCGGUCUCCGCAACCAGAGCGUAUCAUUAGAUCUUCAGCAGCAGGAUGGAUCCUUACAGGAAGUGUUUUAUAUUGUGCCAGAACGGCAUGAAGCUACCGCACAGAGAAACUACUGGUUCGGGGAACCAGUUAGAAUCGAUUUUCAUGGUCGUUUUGUGCUCUUCGUCACAGGGGGUUUUGUCGACAAAAUCUUCCGAAAUUCAUCAGUAAGAUGCUAAUAGUAUCGAUGCAAGUUUUUAGUCCAAUAGCUUACAAAAAACCUCCUGUGACGGAAAGAACAAAGCUGCCGAAAAUACUAGUCAUACUAACUCGGCACACAGACAAUAUGAUGUAAAAAUUUAUUCCAUAUAGACAAAAAAGAGUGGAGUGAACUUUAAAAUCAAUCAAUAAUAAAAAAUCUAAAUAAAAGUG
RNAcentral lists this long non-coding RNA (675 nucleotides) under Aedes aegypti (yellow fever mosquito). RNAcentral's name for it is "lncRNA AAEL021355". The record is from RNAcentral. Lineage: Eukaryota; Metazoa; Arthropoda; Insecta; Diptera; Culicidae.